This 2407-nucleotide long non-coding RNA is filed under the name Trifolium pratense (red clover). RNAcentral's name for it is "long non-coding RNA (TPRA_LNC001117)". Lineage: Eukaryota; Viridiplantae; Streptophyta; Magnoliopsida; Fabales; Fabaceae. The record is from RNAcentral.
ACACCUCUAUGCAAACUCUCUCAAACGUUGGACAUUUAAAAGAUAAAUGUUGGUCUCAUUCAAACCACACACAUUUUAAUAAACAUACAAAUGAAGCAAUUGUUGCGAGUGUUGGAGAGUUUGGAGGGAAUUUUGGGAGUAACAACAAGUUAAUGUUUAUAAGAGAAGAAGACAGUUGUGCUCCCUAACAAGUCGAACCACAGUUUUCAUACCACUUGUUGGAGAUGCUACUUGUUGGAAAGUCUAAGAAAGUGUUAGGAAUAACAAAAUGUCAAUGCUCUAUGAUCACAAGAGAGGAAGAACCUCUGCUCCACCACAAAGCCGAACCACGACUCUUAUACCACUUACUGAAGAUACAUCGGUUGGUUCAUGAGAGAGCGGUUCGGGGGAUCAUCCACAUAUUUACCUAAAACCUUAAAGACAUUAGAUUUAUGAGUCCUCAUUUAUAAAAUGAUCAACGUCCAUUUUUUUAAGCAAUGUGAGACUUAACCCACCUUACACUUACCACAACAACUUCACUCUUAAUGCGAGUCAUCAAUUCAUUAUACUCAUAUACCCCCUUAAGCAGAAACUUUCUUUUCAUCCAUACAGUUGCACCGCAUUCGCUGUUCUCAAUAGGACACGCCCUCUGAUCACUUUUGUCAGGACGACUUUCGAUACAAUGAGUUGAUUGAAUCAUUUGUCAAACCAUCGGCUCUGAUACUACUCUUGAGUCAUGAUAGGGCAAUAUGAGGGAUCAUCCACAUUAGGCUUAAGAGCAACCAUACAAGUGAGUUAGACACCACAUCUUUACCCAAAGUUUUAAGGCAUUUUAGGUUUAUGGGUCCUCUCAUUUAUAAAGUAUUCAACUUAUCCAUUUUUCCAAGUAAUGUGAGACUUAACUCACUUCACACGUGUCACAACAACUACUUGUUGGGAAGUCCGAUGGAGCACCGAGAGUUUCAAAUUAAAGUCUCAAUGUUUCAAGACCACAAAAGAGAAAGAUGUCACAUCUUCAUCCAAAACUUUAAGGCAUUAUUAGGUGUAUGGAAUAUCUCUUUCUUAUAUAUUGAACAUUAUUUACAUUUCAAUCGAUAUGAACUUUAAUCACUUACACGUAAAACCAAUAGACUUUGUGCCUUCAUCACUAUACAUCAAUAAUCUAUAUGCCUCCUCGAGAGAAUAUAUAUAUAUAUAUAUAUAUAUAUUACUUUAUUACUUUGAUUAUAGUUUCAGCACCAAUUGUCGUCCAAAUUAUCCUACAAAACAAUGUUAUCCAAAAUAGACACACAUCCCCAGCAACGAUAUCCUUUUACAUUGAAAUAAGCCUCUUCUAAAGACGGGAUAUAAAUCGCCACUUAUUGUAGAAUCACACAUAGUAAAAUAUAUGGCAUUACACCACAUUUUGCCUAAUUUGAAUUGAAAAACAUUAUGCUAUGAAUUUAUAUAUACUUCUAUUACUUGCUAUAGUAUGAUGGGUAUUAAUUAUACUUUACGCUCAUACUUGUCUUCCAUAAUAUGUCCAUAUUUAUUUUCUAUGCUUUCUCAAUUCUCACAUAUAUUUUUUUCCAUAUAUACAAAUUAAUAAACAAAUACGUGCAUGUGAACAUGUUUUGUGUUUGUUGGUAAGUUAAUUUAGUUUAGAAGAGUGUUGAAGCAUAUUGUAUAUGUAUUUGCACAUAUAUAUACAUAUAUACAGUUGAAAAAUAUUAAUGAAAUAAACAAAUAUUAUACAUAUCAUAUAAAAAAAAAUUAGACAUAUAUGAUAAAAAAGAGAUAAUUAGAGAUGAAAAUUAAGUCUAUACCUUGAAAUUGAGAUUGAGAUAUGUUGACCAGAAGUGGAGCUAGGAAGUUAAUUAUCUGUUGGCAAUUGAGUGAUUGAAGCUGCAAGAUGACCUGAUGGAACCACAUCUUAUAACCAAAAUUGCCUUAAAGGAUUAUUAAUCCAUUUGUCUUUGUGAAAAUAAAUCUUUUAAAUAAAAUAACCAAUUUUAAAUGUUUUUAUCUGUUUGUAACAAGUUUUUUUUUUUUUAAAUGAAAAUCUAAAGAUGAAAACAAAAAUUAUUUCAAAUGAGAAAUUACUUUUAGUAAGUUUUUAUUUUCCUUUCAAAAUACUUUUUGAUAACUGAUUUUUUUUAAAAAAAUAAAUUUUAUCAUAGAAAUCAAACAUAAAAAGUUUCUAUUUCACUAAAAAAAUAAAAAAAUUAAUUAAUUUAAAAAUUAUUUAAUAUCAAAAUUACUCGAGUCAUAAAUUCGAAUAUAAAUUUAAUAGUUUUUUUUUUAUAAACGUGUGUAAAUUAUAUAUUAGGCAUAUAUAAUAUACAUAUAUAACAUAGAAAUUUAAUAGAUAAUUUUUGUAAUAGUGGUGAUGAAUAUAAGAAUUAAGCUUACAUAAAAGAAAAAUUAUAGAGUGUGGUUAAUUAAUUAC